RNAcentral lists this non-coding RNA (239 nucleotides) under Clostridium neonatale. Its description in RNAcentral is "T-box". It matches the Rfam family "T-box leader". Rfam says of the family: Uncharged tRNA acts as the effector for transcription antitermination of genes in the T-box leader family. T-boxes are found upstream of many aminoacyl-tRNA synthetase genes and some amino acid biosynthetic genes usually in Gram-positive bacteria. The anticodon of a specific tRNA base pairs to a specifier sequence within the T-box motif, and the NCCA acceptor tail of the tRNA base pairs to a conserved bulge in the T-box antiterminator hairpin. Lineage: Bacteria; Bacillati; Bacillota; Clostridia; Eubacteriales; Clostridiaceae. The record is from RNAcentral.
AUAAAGACUAUGAAAAAGGAAAGUAACAUAAAGGAAUGUUAACAGAGAGAAAAGAAGGCUGAGAACUUUUCAUCAGAAAUUUAUGUGAAGUGCCCUUUGGAGUUGAAAUCAGAAUAUAAGAGUAUGAUUCUCCGGAUUCACCCGUUAUAGUGAUAUAGCAUAAUAAUGUGCUGAAACCAAAGAGGAAUUAUUAAUUUAAUUCAAUUAGAGUGGAACCGCGGAUUUACUUCGUCUCUAUA